GGGCGGCGGGCGGAAGGCAUCACUUUGUCCGGACUCUAAUUCAAAUUGUAUUCAUCCGAUCUUCACCAAACUUGGUCAGCAGUUGCAUCUAGUUGAUAUCUAGGCCAAGUUCGAAUAUGGGUCAUGCCGGGUCAAAAACUAGGUCAUAGGGUCAAUUAGUGCAUUUUCAACGGCGCCACUUUGUCCGGACUCUAAUUCAAAUUGUAUUCAUCCGAUCUUCACCAAACUUGGUCAGUAGUUGCAUCUAGUUGAUAUCUAGGUCAAGUUCGAAUAUGGGUCAUGUCGGGUCAAGAACUAGGUCAUAGGGUCAAUUAGUGCAUUUUCAACGGCGCCACUUUGUCCGGACUCUAAUUCAAAUUGUAUUCAUCCGAAACUUUUAAACAACUUUUUAUCCUGCGUCAAAGUGGUAUGGGGGUAUAAGUCACAUUCAGUGACAAAGCUCUAGUUCAAGUUGAAUUCACCAAACUUGGUCAGAGGUAGUAUAUAGAUUAUAUAUCAGUCAGGUCUGAUUGGAGACAUGCAACCGAUUAACACAUGUAAUAUUUUUAUGCAAUAUUUUUAUCCAGUUUUAUUUUGCGAUAUUUUCAUCGGGUUUAUUUUUAUAAUUUUAUUCUUGUGAUACGCCCGUUUUAAAAACGGGACGUAUUAUAGUUUCACCCUUGGCGGGCGGCGUCCAUGGCAGUGUCCGCUCUCUAAUUCAAAUAGUUUUCAUCCGAUCUUCACUAAACUUGGGCAGAAGUUGUGUCUAGACAAUAUCUAGGUCAAGUUCGAAUAUGGGUCAUGCUGGGUCAAAAACUAGGUCACGGGGUCACUUAGUGCAUUUCAAGGAUUAAGCAUGGUGUCCGCUCUCUAAUUGAAGUAGUUUUCACGCGAUCAUCACCAAAUUUGGUCAGAAGUUGUGUCUAGAUGAUAUGUAGGUCAAGUUCAAAUAUGGGUCAUGCCGGGUCAAAAACUAGGUCACGAGGUCACUUAGUGCAUUUCAAGCAUUAAGCAUGGUGUCCGCUCUCUAAUUGAAGAAGUUUUCAUCUGAUCUUCACCUAAUUUGGUCAGAAGUUGUGUCUAGAUGAUAUGUAGGUCAAGUUCGAAUAUGGGUCAUGCCGGGUCAAAAACGAGGUCACGAGGUUACUUAGUGCAUUUCAAGCAUUUAGCAUGGUGUCCCCUCUCUAAUUGAAGUAGUUUUCAUCCGAUCUUCACCAAAUUGGUCAGAAGUUGUGUCUAGAUGAUAUGUAGGUCAAGUUCAAAUAUGGGUCAUGCAGGGUCAAAAACUAGGUCAUGAGGUCACAUAGUGCAUUUCAAGCAUUUAGCAUGGUGUCCGCUCUCUUAUUGAAGUAGUUUUCAUCCGAUCUUCACCUAAUUUGAUCAGAAGUUGUGUGUAGAUGAUAUGUAGGUAAAGUUCGAAUAUGGGUCAUGCCGGGUCAAAAAUGGGGUCACGAGGUCACAUAGUGCAUUUCAAGCAUUUAGCAUGGUGUCCGCUCUCUAAUUGAAGUAGUUUUUUAUCCGAUCUUCACCUAAUUUGGUCAGAAAAUGUGUCUAGAUGAUAUGUAGGUCAAGUUCAAAUAUGGGUCAUGCCGGGUCAAAAACGAGGUCACGAUGUCACUUAGUGCAUUUCAAGCAUUGAGCAUGGUGUCCAAAACCUUCGAACGGGCGUAUCUUGUGACAGUUUGGCACUCU
Molecule: long non-coding RNA, 1671 nt
Organism: Dreissena polymorpha
Lineage: Eukaryota; Metazoa; Mollusca; Bivalvia; Myida; Dreissenidae
Exons: 3
Source: RefSeq, a predicted model, not a curated record